UACAGAGGUCUCAAGCGUUGUUCGGAUUCAUUGGGCGUAAAGAGCUCGUAGGCGGCUCGUUGCGUCGGCUGUGAAAACCCGCAGCUCAACUGUGGGCUUGCAGCCGAUACGGGCGGGCUGGAGUUCGGUAGGGGAGACUGGAAUUCCUGGUGUAGCGGUGAAAUGCGCAGAUAUCAGGAGGAACACCGGUGGCGAAGGCGGGUCUCUGGGCAACAACUGACGCUGAGGAGCGAAAGCGUGGGGAGCGAACAGG
Molecule: ribosomal RNA, 253 nt
Filed under: uncultured bacterium
Lineage: Bacteria
Description: partial 16S ribosomal RNA
Rfam family: Bacterial small subunit ribosomal RNA
Source: RNAcentral